UAGCCCGCCCACUGGUAGGCAGCAUUCAAUUCUUGUAUGCCUUUUCUCACUAACUGUUCUUUCUUCUGAAACAAAGAAGAAAUAGAUACAUCAGUCUUGUCCUCUUGGAAAUGUGGUCCAGAUUUCUCUACUCCCAAGCUCAGUGAUA
This 148-nucleotide long non-coding RNA is filed under the name Nannospalax galili (Upper Galilee mountains blind mole rat). RNAcentral's name for it is "Rhabdomyosarcoma 2 associated transcript conserved region 10 (ENSNGAG00000003918.1)". It matches the Rfam family "Rhabdomyosarcoma 2 associated transcript conserved region 10". Lineage: Eukaryota; Metazoa; Chordata; Mammalia; Rodentia; Spalacidae. The record is from RNAcentral.